UACGUAGGUGGCAAGCGUUGUCCGGAUUUAUUGGGUUUAAAGGGUGCGUAGGCGGCGCGGAAAGUUGGGUGUGAAAUCCCUCGGCUCAACCGAGGAACUGCGCCCAAAACUACCGUGCUCGAGGAAGAUAGAGGUGAGCGGAACUUACGGUGGAGCGGUGAAAUGCGUUGAUAUCGUAAGGAACACCCGUGGCGAAAGCGGCUCACUGGGUCUUUUCUGACGCUGAUGCACGAAAGCUAGGGGAGCAAACGGG
RNAcentral lists this ribosomal RNA (253 nucleotides) under uncultured bacterium. RNAcentral describes it as "partial 16S ribosomal RNA". It matches the Rfam family "Bacterial small subunit ribosomal RNA", at positions 524 to 776 of the family's 1533-position model. The record is from RNAcentral.